UUAGGGUUUAGUAUUUGGAAGGUGGGGGUUGAGGUUUGGGUUUAGUGACCGUAUUGUAUUAUGUAUGUUCCAUUUGACGAUUAAUAAAGAAUGUUCUAUUUUGCUCACCAAUUUGUACUAUACUAUGUAUUUUGUUCAAUUCUAUUUGGGUUUAGAGUCUAUACUUGGGUUUAAGGUUUAGUGAUUAGGAUUUAGAGUUUAGUAUUUGGAAGGUGGGAGUUUAGGUUUGGGUUUAGCGAUAGGAUUUAGGGUUUAGUAUUUGGAAGGUGGGUUUGGGUUUAGCAUUGAGGAGUUGCGUGUUGGAUUGGAGUCCUAUACUAUUCAAAAAUUAGGUUUGGAUUUAGUUUAAUAUUACAUAAUAUUAUAUAUUAUUUUCAGAUUUUGAUAAUUGGGUUUAAGGUUUAUAUUUGGGUUUAAGGUUCAGUAAUGAGGGUUUAGGGUUUAGUAUUUAGAUGGAAGGUUGAUGUUUAAAGUUUAGGGUUUAGUAUCUAGGAAUUGAGGUUUUGAAUAAAGUUUAGUAUUUACUAGAUCUGAGUUGAUUUUAAAUCCUAUUAUAUUUCAGUGAUAUGGUAUAGAAAAAUCAGAUGCAUAUUUAUGUGUUAAACAAAAGUGUGGUGUUGGUUAUAUUACGUGUGAUAAUUAAUUAUGGAGUGUCAAAUUGUUGAUGUCAACAAUUUUCUCUC
Molecule: long non-coding RNA, 683 nt
Filed under: Brassica napus (rape)
Lineage: Eukaryota; Viridiplantae; Streptophyta; Magnoliopsida; Brassicales; Brassicaceae
Description: long non-coding RNA (BNAP_LNC013666)
Source: RNAcentral